AUGAACGCUGGCGGCGUGCCUAAUACAUGCAAGUCGAACGAAUCUCUUUUAGAGAUGAGUGGCGAACGGGUGAGUAAUACAUAGGUAACCUGCCCCUGUGCGGGGGAUAACAGGAGGAAACUCCUGCUAAUACCGCAUAGCCAUGAGCACCGCAUGGAGCUCAUGCCAAAUAUCCUUUCGGGGAUAGCGCAGGGAUGGACCUAUGGCGCAUUAGCUUGUUGGCGGGGCAACGGCCCACCAAGGCAACGAUGCGUAGCCGGCCUGAGAGGGCGGACGGCCACAUUGGGACUGAGACACGGCCCAGACUCCUACGGGAGGCAGCAGUAGGGAAUUUUCGGCAAUGGGGGAAACCCUGACCGAGCAACGCCGCGUGAGCGAAGAAGGCCUUCGGGUCGUAAAGCUCUGUUGUAAAGGAAGAACGGCGCAUACAGGAAAUGGUAUGCGAGUGACGGUACUUUACCAGAAAGCCACGGCUAACUACGUGCCAGCAGCCGCGGUAAUACGUAGGUGGCGAGCGUUAUCCGGAAUCAUUGGGCGUAAAGAGGGAGCAGGCGGCCGCAAGGGUCUGUGGUGAAAGACCGAAGCUAAACUUCGGUAAGCCAUGGAAACCGGGCGGCUAGAGUGCGGAAGAGGAUCGUGGAAUUCCAUGUGUAGCGGUGAAAUGCGUAGAUAUAUGGAGGAACACCAGUGGCGAAGGCGACGGUCUGGGCCGCAACUGACGCUCAUUCCCGAAAGCGUGGGGAGCAAAUAGGAUUAGAUACCCUAGUAGUCCACGCCGUAAACGAUGGUCACUAAGUGUCGGGGGUCAAACCCCGGUGCUGCAGUCAACGCAAUAAGUGACCCGCCUGAGUAGUACGUUCGCAAGAAUGAAACUCAAAGGAAUUGACGGAA
This 891-nucleotide ribosomal RNA is filed under the name uncultured bacterium. RNAcentral's name for it is "bacterial SSU rRNA". It matches the Rfam family "Bacterial small subunit ribosomal RNA", at positions 29 to 918 of the family's 1533-position model. The record is from RNAcentral.